AACGAACGCUGGCGGCAUGCCUAACACAUGCAAGUCGAACGAGAUCUUCGGGUCUAGUGGCGCACGGGUGCGUAACGCGUGGGAAUCUGCCCUUUGGUUUGGAAUAACAGUUGGAAACGACUGCUAAUACCGGAUGAUGACGAAAGUCCAAAGAUUUAUCGCCAGAGGAUGAGCCCGCGUAGGAUUAGCUAGUUGGUGUGGUAAAGGCGCACCAAGGCGACGAUCCUUAGCUGGUCUGAGAGGAUGAUCAGCCACACUGGGACUGAGACACGGCCCGGAAGCCUACGGGAGGCAGCAGUGGGGAAUAUUGGACAAUGGGCCAAAGCCUGAUCCAGCGAUGCCGCGUGAGUGAUGAAAGCCGUAGGGUUGUAAAGCUCUUUUACCCGGGAUGAUAAUGACAGUACCGGGAGAAUAAGCUCCGGCUAACUCCGUGCCAGCCGCCGCCGUAA
This 449-nucleotide ribosomal RNA is filed under the name uncultured bacterium. Its description in RNAcentral is "partial 16S ribosomal RNA". It matches the Rfam family "Bacterial small subunit ribosomal RNA", at positions 29 to 523 of the family's 1533-position model. The record is from RNAcentral.